GGCCCUACAAGGCAGACGGGUUCUGGCAGAUCAUAGAAGCGCCGACCGCCGGUUCGAUUCCGGCUGGGGCCACCA
RNAcentral lists this transfer RNA (75 nucleotides) under Caudoviricetes sp. RNAcentral describes it as "tRNA-OTHER". Lineage: Duplodnaviria; Heunggongvirae; Uroviricota; Caudoviricetes. The record is from RNAcentral.